CGAGGGCCACCAGGGUCUGAGCU
This 23-nucleotide microRNA is filed under the name Pristionchus pacificus. RNAcentral's name for it is "ppc-miR-8218b-5p". Lineage: Eukaryota; Metazoa; Nematoda; Chromadorea; Rhabditida; Neodiplogasteridae. The record is from miRBase by way of RNAcentral.